Passer domesticus (house sparrow) is the source of this 101-nucleotide small nuclear RNA. RefSeq annotates it as U2 spliceosomal RNA. The transcript has a single exon. The record is from RefSeq and is a predicted model, not a curated record. Lineage: Eukaryota; Metazoa; Chordata; Aves; Passeriformes; Passeridae.
CUCGCUUCUCGGCCUUUUGGCUAAGAUCAAGUGUAGUAUCUGACAAAUAAGACACUACAAGUAAAAUUCAGUGAUUAACAUCUUCCUGCAGAAAACCCAUU